UUUCCGUAGGUGAACCAGCGGAGGGAUCAUUAUUGUACAAUCGAGGUGCGAGGCCUUUCGCUGACCUGAUAGGUCGUGCACGCCCGAGUGCCCUCACACACAGCGAUCUCACGCCUAUUUGCACCACUCCGUGGGACCCGCUGAUGCAUGUGCGGGGGGGGGCUUACGUGUUAACACAAACUUCAUAUGCAGUGUUGGAUGUAUUAUCUGUGUUUGCGAAAGCGGAAUCAAAACAACUUUCAAUAACGGAACUCUUGACUCUCGCAUCGAGGAAGCACG
This 279-nucleotide unclassified non-coding RNA is filed under the name plant metagenome. Its description in RNAcentral is "partial contains small subunit ribosomal RNA, internal transcribed spacer 1, and 5.8S ribosomal RNA". The record is from RNAcentral.